RNAcentral lists this transfer RNA (19 nucleotides) under Odorrana versabilis (bamboo leaf odorous frog). RNAcentral describes it as "partial tRNA-Ala". The record is from RNAcentral. Lineage: Eukaryota; Metazoa; Chordata; Amphibia; Anura; Ranidae.
UAGGAUAUUAACCUACAUC